RNAcentral lists this transfer RNA (67 nucleotides) under Marmota monax (woodchuck). Its description in RNAcentral is "tRNA.Ala". Lineage: Eukaryota; Metazoa; Chordata; Mammalia; Rodentia; Sciuridae. The record is from RNAcentral.
GGUUGUGGCUCAGUGGUACAGUGCUUGCCUAGCAUGCAUGAGGCACUAGGUUCGAUCCUCAGCACCA